UAGGGAAUCUUCGGCAAUGGACGAAAGUCUGACCGAGCAACGCCGCGUGAGUGAAGAAGGUUUUCGGAUCGUAAAACUCUGUUGUUAGAGAAGAACAAGGACGUUAGUAACUGAACGUCCCCUGACGGUAUCUAACCAGAAAGCCACGGCUAACUACGUGCCAGCAGCCGCGGUAAUACGUAGGUGGCAAGCGUUGUCCGGAUUUAUUGAGCGUAAAGCGAGCGCAGGCGGUUUCUUAAGUCUGAUGUGAAAGCCCCCGGCUCAACCGGGGAGGGUCAUUGGAAACUGGGAGACUUGAGUGCAGAAGAGGAGAGUGGAAUUCCAUGUGUAGCGGUGAAAUGCGUAGAUAUAUGGAGGAACACCAGUGGCGAAGGCGGCUCUCUGGUCUGUAACUGACGCUGAGGCUAGAAAGCGUGGGGAGCAAACAGG
RNAcentral lists this ribosomal RNA (429 nucleotides) under Gemmatimonadota bacterium. RNAcentral describes it as "Gemmatimonadetes bacterium partial 16S ribosomal RNA". It matches the Rfam family "Bacterial small subunit ribosomal RNA", at positions 355 to 776 of the family's 1533-position model. Lineage: Bacteria; Pseudomonadati; Gemmatimonadota. The record is from RNAcentral.